RNAcentral lists this transfer RNA (355 nucleotides) under uncultured Microcystis sp. Its description in RNAcentral is "partial 16S-23S ribosomal RNA intergenic spacer". The stretch from base 133 to 206 matches the Rfam family "tRNA". Lineage: Bacteria; Bacillati; Cyanobacteriota; Cyanophyceae; Chroococcales; Microcystaceae. The record is from RNAcentral.
AAGGGAGACCUAAUUCGGGUAUAAGACGAAAAAAGAGUAGUCGAAACCAAGAAUCAAUCCCAAAAGGUCGGAACGAGGUAUGUGGCUUUCAAACUAGGUUCUGGGUUCACACAAGACCUGAAUCAGGAACAAGGGCUAUUAGCUCAGGUGGUUAGAGCGCACCCCUGAUAAGGGUGGGGUCCCUGGUUCGAGUCCAGGAUGGCCCACCUGCACAGGUGGCAAAAACAAAGAAGCGAGGAAUCAGCACCUUAUCUUACCUAUAUAUAAGAGAGAAUGCUGGCUCUGAGUAAAGAGUCCAGAGGAACCUUGAAAACUGCAUAGAGCUAGGUGAAAAAGCCAAAAAAGAAGACCGCAA